RNAcentral lists this ribosomal RNA (253 nucleotides) under uncultured bacterium. RNAcentral describes it as "partial 16S ribosomal RNA". It matches the Rfam family "Bacterial small subunit ribosomal RNA", at positions 524 to 776 of the family's 1533-position model. The record is from RNAcentral.
UACAGAGGUCUCAAGCGUUGUUCGGAAUCACUGGGCGUAAAGCGUGCGUAGGCGGCUCUGCAAGUCAGAGGUGAAAUGCCGGGGCUCAACCCCGGAACUGCCUUUGAAACUGCAUGGCUGGAGUGUCGGAGGGGAUAGCGGAAUUCCUAAUGUAGUGGUGAAAUACGUAGAUAUUAGGAGGAACACCGGUGGCGAAGGCGGCUAUCUGGACGACAACUGACGCUGAGGCACGAAAGCGUGGGGAUCAAACAGG